GACGAACGCUGGCGGCGUGCUUAACACAUGCAAGUCGAACGGUAAGGCCCUUUCGGGGGUACACGAGUGGCGAACGGGUGAGUAACACGUGGGUGAUCUGCCCUGCACUUUGGGAUAAGCCUGGGAAACUGGGUCUAAUACCGGAUAGGACUACGCGAUGCAUGUCGUGUGGUGGAAAGCUUUUGCGGUGUGGGAUGGGCCCGCGGCCUAUCAGCUUGUUGGUGGGGUGAUGGCCUACCAAGGCGACGACGGGUAGCCGGCCUGAGAGGGUGUCCGGCCACAGGGGGGUGGAGAUCGGGCACAGCCCCCACCGGGGGGAGGGGGGGGGGAUUAUUGAAAAAGGGGGGAAACCGGGAGGCGGCGGGCCGGGGGGGGGAAGGAGGCCUUUGGGUUUGUAACCCCUUUCCAGCAAAGAGGAAGGGGAGGUGAGGGUAGGGGAAGAAAAAGCACCGCCCAACUGCGU
Molecule: ribosomal RNA, 463 nt
Filed under: uncultured bacterium
Lineage: Bacteria
Description: partial 16S ribosomal RNA
Rfam family: Bacterial small subunit ribosomal RNA
Source: RNAcentral